RNAcentral lists this long non-coding RNA (14442 nucleotides) under Vitis vinifera (wine grape). Its description in RNAcentral is "long non-coding RNA (VVIN_LNC007602)". Lineage: Eukaryota; Viridiplantae; Streptophyta; Magnoliopsida; Vitales; Vitaceae. The record is from RNAcentral.
AUGCAAGGAUAGUAGCUAACUAAUAUUCAUAUUAGGAACUUCCGAGGUUUAUAUGGCCGUUCUCAAUCAUCCACUUGAGGCUCCAGUGGUUCUGAGCACAUCUGUAAGCCCAAUACGCCCAUCCAAAAGUGGCACGCCUGUACACAUCUAUUUGAGCUUUUGCAAAUCUCUGGUAGUCUUUCUUUGAUGCUCCACUUUUUGCCCAUUCUGCGGUCCAUUCCCCUACAAAAUUCACCACCAUCAUAUAGAUCUGUAUGGCAAAUAAUUCUAAAUCCAUGAUUGUGUUAUAAGCAAUAAAUAUGUGAUUCAUACUUACCUACAAAACUGAGAGGGCCAUUGGAAGUGGUAACAGCACUGAGGUCUGAAGCUCUCUGGCUAUAGAUGAAAUCAAUAUUCUGUUGUACGUUCAUGUUGUUAAACAUAUCUGAGAAGAGGCUGUAGUAAUGCACAUCGAUCACUACACGAUUAAGGCCCCUGGCGAAGUCCAGGAGCUCCUUGGAGUCAGCAGGCCCCAGUCGGUUCGAUAGGAUCACAUAAGCAUUUGAUGUGUACUUCCUCACGGCAUCGUAACCAGCUUUGUAAUACUUCUUAAGAUCAUUGAGUGUAACUCCUGGAGCCAGAGGCUCAUUCAUCAACUCAAUGGAUGCUAGACUCGGGUUGUUGGCAUAUCUGCCCAAAAAUCAAGUCUGAACCAUUUAAGGCAAUGGCCAAAAAAAUAAAAAAAAUGUUAAGAUAAACUUUAUUUUAGCUUCUGAAACCUUGCUGCUAGGAAGUCUAUGACUGCAACAGUAUCUUGAAUAUUGGAGUCUCCCCAUUCCUGAAACCCAUCUCUGGUCCCACUAUGAUCGUUGCCAUUUUGUGAACCUUGAACUGCAUGCAGAUCAACUAUAAUCUUCAUGCCGUUGUUCCUGCAAAAUUAGUGAUUACCCAGAAAUAUUAUGAACAUAUUGAAUGGUGGCUAAGAGGAUGGUUGGAGAUGGAGUUGUAUGGCUGUUUUUCUUUCACUUACUGUGCCCAUGUGAAAGCAUUGUCCAAGGCCUUUAAGGAGCCCCCCACAAAAGGCUUUGGUGGUGUUGGGUCGCUCGCUAUCCACCACCCAACUGGAAUCCUAACCGCAUUCAGACCAUUUGAUGACAAGAAUCUGAAAUCCUCAUUAGUGAUGUAUGCAUUCCAGUGAUCCUGAUAUUAAGAGGUUUAUGCUUUUAUUAUGAUCAAAUGCUUUACUGAUGAUUGUGAUAAAAAGUAUUCAUCAGUUAAAUGUUCUUGCUAGGCUUGUUGGAGAAAUCAUAUUUGAAUCCUUACCUGCAUGACUUGAGGGGCUCUGUCUGGACCAUAGCCAUUAGUGAUUUGGUAUUCUCCUUGUAAGGUCCGGACUAUCUUCAUUUGGAAGACGGAUGGAUUAUUGUCAUCCCAACCUGAGCCUCCAUAGUCUGCAGUCACCAGCCCCGGUUUUGCCUGAUUAUUGAAUAAAAGCCCAGUAAUCAUGAGAUCCACAAGCAUUUAUUCCUAGAACUGGUAAAUAAUUCAAUUGACAACUGAAACUAACUUGCUAUUGUUGAAUACCUGCAAAUUAGCUAGCUAUUACUAUAGCCCCGGAGAUAGGAGAGGAGGUGGAUCCUAGUUUAGAACUGAGACCUAAUGUGAACUGGGAGAUUGAAACCAAGCCUAAGGUUGAUUGGCUAGCAACUAAUUUCGGUUAAACUUCGACUUUUAGUUUGAAUUGAUCAUGAAUUAAAUUUUAUUUCACUCAGAGACACCUGUAAGAACAUGUACCUCCAUUAUUGAUAUCACCAGUCACUAUACGAUUGUACAUGGAACAUGCGUGUGCCAGAGGCAUGUAGCUGAGGAAGACAAUCCAAAUUCUUGUUCAGGCAAGGGGAAGAUGGUAAAUGCAAUAACCCUCCAUUUUUCUUAUCCUAAAUGGACUAAGGAUGAUAUUUAUAUUAAGUAGGUCCCAGAAAUGGUUGGUUAAAAACUGUGCUCCCAUGUUUGUAUUGCUACUAUCAGCUAGAUCAGUCCCUUUUUCAUCCCUGAAUGGAGCCGAGGAUACAGUAAAAAAGGCAGAUGCUGGGACCAGAUCAUAGAUCUUUAUAUUAUUAGUCUAACCCUCAGCUUAUCAGGUUUUCACAUGUAUGGGCUUGUUCUCUAGUGUUCUACACAAUACUACCAUUUUUUAUGGGGUGUUUAAGAGCCCAAAAGAGUGAGGAAAUGCCUUGUGCCCUGAAAUAUACAGUUUUAGGAUGGAUAGGACACCUGGAGGAAGAGGCCAUUUGAUGCUUUUAUGCGAACUCGAUUUUGAUCGUCGUUCUUCCUUACUAUCUGAAAUGUUUCUGAGUUCCCAGGGGAAUUUAGAACCGAUACCACUUUGUUUCCUUUGCCUUGAUUUUCUAGUCCAAAGAACUGUUUGUUAAACACUCUGAGAUUGAAAGUUGACUUAUUGAUCCUCCACAACUGCAUCAUAUAGUUGAAAAGCAAGGAUUGUUAACAAUGAGGAAGAAUUGAAAGAUGGUUAUAUAUGGUUAAAAGAACCCAACCCUGAAAGUCUCCCAGCCAGAGGGCGAGGUGCGGUUGGCAACAACAUCUGUCCCACCCCCAUUUUCAGCGGCGAGAUACUUCUGCAGCUUCGUAGACAUGAACUGCACUUGAGUUCCAUCCUACCAAGGAUCACAAUAAAGAGCCAUAUGUUAUUGAUGAAAUGCAAAAUUAAGCAGUAAGAAGCCCCUUUUCCUUGGUUAGUGCCGCAUUUAUCAACACAAAAAGGGGAGAUAAAACAAAAUUAGUGGCCAUAGGUGUUUAAUGAUGCAUGGCUGGUCUUAGGAAAAUGAAGAAACUGUACCAAAAGAUCUUGAUUGGGUAUCCCAGCAAAGAGUUCAGGUUUCAUCCAUCCCUCUGUAACAAGCCAAUUUCCUAGAUUCACAGCUUUAACUGGCAAAUAAGGAUCUGCACCCUGUGCAAACAAAAGAGUGGGGACCCAUGAUGAAAAGAGAUAGAAAGCCCACACACAUUUCACGUACAAGCAAGAACUCAUUUGUCACUCUCUUCCUGGAAACUGAGGAGAGUUCGAGUCGAAUACAUACAGAAGGCAAGGGCUACAAAUGGUGUAGGAUGAUAAUGAUUAGUAAAUAUUGUUCACACAAUAUUAAUUAAGGCAUUUGGGAAAUAAUGACUGGAUUGUAUUUUAGGGUUUGUAUCACUCGCUCUUCCACUGGGAAAUCUCAUUUUUCUAGAAGGCAUGCAUCACAAAUUUUGGCCACAAAUAGAAGUUGGACACGGAAUUAGUGCAAAAAUGAAGAUAACUGAGAAUCCCAAUAUGCAUUUAAUGGGAAAUUAGUAGCCGAGAUUAUGAUUUCCAAGGAUUUAUUCAACUGGAUCAGCAAAAUUCUACACGUCCCACCCAGUUUGGGAAUUCUGGGUCUAAGAUUCCACACUAUAAUGAUUUGAGUUUUGAAGAUGGGAGUCAGCGUUAGAAUUGGGUGGCGAAAUAACCUAAGUUGAAUGAGUGGAAGAGCAGGCGGUGAAGACAUUUAGUGAUCAUAAACCUCAAUUUGUAUCCUUCGAUAUAAGAUUGGAGACACAGGGAGGGAGGCACACAAAAUGGACAUAUGUAUGGUUUGUAGAGAAAGAAUUUGCUGUGGGUUGAGGUUUAAUGAUGGCUGUUUCCUACCAACCUAAAGUAAGAUUUGACAGGGGCUAUGAUAGCUCCAUAUAGGCUGUAUUGGGCUCUUGCCACUCCCUCCACUCAGGUUCUAUGCACACUAAAGACAUGAGCACUCAACAGACACAUUAUUGGGGAAUCCAAAAAGGGACUCACACCACCCCCCAAUCAUAGCUUUUCUGUUACCUCUCUGCUGUUCUUAUGAAUCAAGUCCAUCAAAACACUAUUCACCUUUGCAUUGCACUAUCUCAUGGAAAACCUGGACUUCAUGCAACAGACUUAACAUGAGAUGGUGCUAUGUGACUCAUCUAAUCAAACUCCAGGAUUGAGUUUCAAAGCAACUCUUCAAGUGGUGAAAGUUUAGUCAUAUCAUUUACUCCGCAAGAAAUCCACACAUGACAACCAUAUCCUAGUAACCCCAAAAUUUAGAAGACUACAGAGGUGCAUUAUCAAAGUAGGAAAAGCAAAAUGAAGGAAGAAACAACAUGGAGGUUCUUAUAAUUUUAGCCGGGGAAAAAGGGGAACAUGGUUAGAAAAGUACCCGACUGAGCAGGGGCUUCAUUUGCUCCCUGUAGCCAUCAAGAACUCGCCCUCACAUACCACCUCAUCUCACCUCCUACAUAUGCCUUCCCUUCCAUUUUUGCAAUUCCAAACCGUUUUUGAUGCUUAACCAGAGUCAUUCGCAUAACCAAAGUGUCUCCUGCAAUGACUGGUUUCUGGAACCUCACUUUGUCGAUUCCUGCAAAGAAGAAAUUCUCACGAGAGCCUCCAACUUCAGGUUGAAGCAUAACCAAGCCCCCAACCUGAGCCAUUGCCUGGACCCACCAACCACUUUCAUCAGCAAUUACUAGAGGCACAUGUAAUGUAUCCAAAUCCAAACUUGAUAGAAACAGGGUUGUAAAAAGAAUUUAACAAUAACAAUUUUAGCAAUGCUGCAAUGGGAAAAAAAUCAGAAAUAAAGACACUCUUUUGAAGCUAGAAGUAUUAAUUGGGACAUGAUGAAAGAAACUAGUCUAAAGAUGGUUUUUCCAUUUGGAAUGAGGACAAAUGACUGCACGUAUUAGCAGGAGAAUUUUAAUUCAAAUUGAAGAAUAUGAUAGAACAAUGUUACAUUAUAAAAACUGCCUCUAGAUUUCUAUUUGUGAAGUAGGCAGAUAUUAUACGGUGAUGCACUUUGGAGAACAAACACUGCAAUGGGUAUAAAACUCAGUGAUUUGGUUAUCCCUAGGGAGAUCUGAGGCAUUGUCUACUAACAAACAAAAUAAAAACAAAAAGGUCCCACAACCAAAUGGUUAUGAAAUGUAAGGGAAAAGUUGAGACCAAAAUUUGAUAGCUGGUUCUGCCCACUAAAAUGAAAAUCCUCAUUUUAGUUUAGAGAUUUUAUAAAAUUAGCACUUUGCUAUUGAUUACACUUUUCUAUCCCAUUAAUGUGUCCUCAGACUUCUGUGCAGGAGGUUGCAAUUCAGUCUCUUUACCAAAGUCUGACAGUCAACUCCUGUGCACAGAAGCACAAACUAGUACAAUAAAGCAGUAAACUGUGGAGCCUGUGCAGGCCUUGAUUCACCUGGAAGAUGCACCCUUCAUCCCCAGGUCAGGUAAGGCCUGAGCAAGCUCCACAGUCAUAGAUCAUGGGUCUCUCCUCUAUUCCCUACUGAAAAUAGCAGCCCAAAGAGCUCUAUUCAUACUUAUUUUUUUUAAUCAUUGAGGAAUCUUCAAUGAUCAAGCCCUUAGGAUGUUCCAUGGAGACCCAAACCUAGGGUUGCAGAUCAUGCCUGCAACAACCAGCACCGGGUAAAUCAAGGUAUUUAACCAGCAGUAGGAUUCGAAACUAGGACCAUGCACCUCUACUACACAUCCAAGCAUUCAUAGUUAUAUUGUAUCGAAUAAGCUAAAACUAUUAUUCAUUCUCAUCUAUUGAACUAGUCAAAGCUAAAAGAGGAGCAUGUCUUAGAUGUGUUGAUAAUUUUAUGGUGAGAAUCAUACUUAUAGCAACCUGGCCAAAUUGGGAGAAUCUACAGGUAUUAUUCUUGGUCAAUUUACUAGAGAAUCAAAUAGUCAACUAACAUUAAGAACUUUUCAUAUUGAGAGAAUAUCCAUGUGAUAUCCCACAUGGAUAGAGGAAACAAUUCUUAGCAUCACAUAUGUAUAAAUUUUUCUUAAUCAUAUAAAUAUGUUUUAAAGUAAGAUCCCAUUGAGCCUAGAGCGGAUAAUAUCUACAUAAGAAAGAACAAGUUGUUACAAAUGGUAUUAGGGCCAAUUUACAACCCUGAUGUGGGCCUUUGUUCGUUUGGUCUUUAAAGGGAUGUCUAUCUAUUUGGCCCACGAUCCUAUGGGACAUGAUAAGGAUGAUGAGUGACAAUUCUACAAAAACAUUAACUUCUAUUACAGAUGAUCAAUAAGUAGAAUCAGAAUAAGUGAUUGCUGGGAUUCAUGCCAGAAUGUACACUUUUCACUUUGAAGAGAGUGCCCAAAAACAUAUUUAUUCCGAUGCAAAGGGGAAGAGCAACAACUAUAGGUCAACAAAAAGAAGAGGCAGGUUAUCUUCAUCAACUUACAGAAAUUUGUGGUAAAACCAAUUGUGAGAUAAUGAUAUGGAUGUCCCAAAAUAAAGGAGUCGCAAAGCAAUAUAUUGGAGUGAUUAUGAACUUGGGGGAAGAAAUUAUCUUGUUGCACUGAUUAUGAAUGAAAUAUGUGGCUAUAUAUAUUAUGAGGUAUGCUAUGCUAUUGAGUGUUGAUUGCAAAUAACCAUUUAAUGGCAAAAUUAGCAAUGGAUACCAAAUUGGAAUCAUUUGCAGUUGCUUUCGAACACCCAGCUUCAAAAUAAUUUGGAGAAUUAUAUUGUAUGAGCAGAAUGUUGAGAACAGGGAAAAAAAUUGCAAAUUGACAUGGCUAUAUCAGAAAGUUGAGUGACAAAAUAAGUGAACACAACAUUAUAGCUAGGUGAAUAUGGCAAAACAAAAGAGUGAUCUGAUAGGGAAUAACAUAUAGAGUGCUGGACUCUAAUAAACUGAUACAGAGCACUGAAAACCUAUGAUAAUCUGAGUGUAAGAGGACAAGGAUGAAAGAAGUAUGAAGAUUUGAAAUCAGCAAUAAAAAAGCCUGAAGCUCCUGAUGAGAUGCAAGUCAUAUGGCAAUAACAUGAAAACAAAAUCCCAAAAUCAAAAGAAGGAAAUCAUCAACUCAUUAACAAAAGGAAAAAGAGCACUCCUAAGUCCUAUGUAUUAAAAGCUGAAUAAGUAGUGCCACAAAAGGGUACCAGGAAUUAUGAUAUGCCAAUCAGAGUAUAAGUGUGAUGUCAACCAUGCAUUGGACAUAAAUGAACUGUUAUAUUUGGCAUGGAGUCAUAGACAAGGAAGUAAGACAUUUCAUUUAGCACCACAUGUAGAAUGCUAUUGUUAGUUGCGCUCCAUUCCUGUUGCCUAACAAAAAGUAAUAAGAAGCAAAAGAAAAGAAGUGCAAUGUUUAAUAGCAUUGUAUAACUAAUGCUAAAUCGAAUGUCUUACUUCCUUAUUCAUAACAAAUAAAAAAGUUUGUUUAUAUCUAAUGUAUGGUUGACGUGCCAAGAAUCAAGUAAAAGCUUAAAAAUACCACCUCUGAUGUCCUCCCUCCCACCACUCCUCCCCCAAUUAAGUAUCAAUUAACAACCAAUGAACUUCAAUGCCAAAAUUUUACAAGUCAAUGAACGAGAAGAUAAAUUCUUUGAGCCUUCCUUUGCACCCAUUUGUUUAUCUUAACAUUUUAAGAACAGAAAAGCUUUGAAUCCCAGCUAUUAGGCUAUGUCCAUCUUUGUCAACCUUUUAGCUCUAUCUAGAUCAAUGUCUUGCCUUAACAAGUUAAGCAAAUGAAAAAGAUUAUAGUGAAUGUACAAAUAUUUCUUGUAUCUUUUUUGUCCUUCAAGAAAGGGGAAAAGGACAAGCUUGAUUAGGAUUGGGGUGUGCAACACGCUGAGAAUCUGCAGCCAAAUGGGAUCUUUGGGACUCAGUUAAAGAUCAUAAGAUCAUCAUCCACAUUCAAAAGGAAGAGAUAAAUUCUUUGCCAAUUUCUUCGCAACUGUUAUAAAAAAGCCCACCUAGCGUAUCUAAAACCAACAAUAUAACCUUAAAUUCCAAUUAUUUGGGCUCAGUUACAUUGGAACAACAGGAUUUGUUUUUUCCAAGAUAUGGGAAAAGGGAUCAGCUUGAUUAUGAAGAGGGAAUGAAACUUCCAGAGCAUCUGUAGCCAAAAAGUGCUUGAUUCACUUGUAGGCUCAAUUAAGAUAAUGGACUAGUAGUCUGCUCAGUUCAAGAUUAGCUGGAUAAUCUGCACAUUCUUUUUGUUCUCCGAGGAUGAGUAAUGCUAUUUUGGGUAAUUGUGCUUGUAAUCAGCCAUGGGAGCUCGAAGCUCCAAGUGGGAGGACAGUGGAUGGAGAUAGCCCCCUCUGAGUCAGACUCAACACUUCUACGGGAGAUGUUAAGAUCUCAACAAAUUUGAAGACUACUCCUCAUGGCCCACAGUUAGCACAUACAAUAAUAAAACUGCAUACAAACCAUGCACGACCUCUUAUUCAUGUCAAUCUAAUGGUCAGAUAACUCCCAAGGAUCUCAGCUGAUGAAGGAAAGACUUUGAUUUUCCAGAAGGAAGCAAAGAACAAUGUAUACCUAAUUCCUAGUUUCAUCUGGAUUAUCCAACAAGGAGCCUGUCCUAAUGGAGAAUAGUAACUCAGUUAAUGGGUUGAUUCCUGACUGUCUGGGUUUCUUGUCAAUUCAAGAAUGCUAAAUACUAUUCAUGUUCUCUGUUAUAAGAAAUUCUACGGUAAAGCUCCAUCAUGAAUCAUAAACCAAUAACCAUAACACUAGUUUGAGAUAAGUUGGUAAGUGACUGCAUCAUAUGUUUUCCAAAAACUGUGUACCCCACUUUUAGAGCUGAAGCUAAUCCCUCCAAAGAUCUUCGUAACACUUAGAACANNNNNNNNNNNNNNNNNNNNNNNNNNNNNNNNNNNNNNNNNNNNNNNNNNNNNNNNNNNNNNNNNNNNNNNNNNNNNNNNNNNNNNNNNNNNNNNNNNNNUCAACAAUUGGGAACAUUAGACUUAAAAGGGAAAAAACAUAAGAGAAAAGAAAGAUUGAGGCAAAUCCCAAUGGGAGGAAUCCUGUGACUAACAUAUAUAAUUAAGGGGACCCAAGUCCUUAGAGCCCAACCAUUGCUUAUUCAACGUGCACAAAUAUGUCGAGUUCUUUAUUUUUCAAACAUUUUCUUUUAUUUUCUAGUAAAUUGAAUUCAAAUGAAGAACAUAAAGUUUGGCAAUAAGCAAAUUACCUCAACCAUGAGCACACCAGGCAUAAUUGGCCUCUCAGGGAAGUGCCCAGGAAAGAAGUUAUUGUUAUAGUCACAUUCUUAAUUGCUAUUGCUGAGAUCCCUGGGUUGUACUCAAUCACUCUAUCCACUAAAAGAAACGGAAACCUGAGAUACAACCAAAAACAAAAUUGCCAAUACGACUGCAAAGUAAUGAGAGAAAAAGAAAAGAAAAGAAAAGAAAAAAGGAAGACUGCAACUUCAAGCUGAGUUUGAUUGUCGAGAAAAUGUAAGGUUUAAGCUGAAUUUGAUUGUCGAGAAAAUGUAAGAAUAAAUAAAAUAGGACAUUAGACUGAAAUUUUCCAUCUUAGCCUAGAAUCAACUAUUCGGCUUAGUUAAGCUGGGUUUAGCAUUUUCAUAAACCAAUAUAACACACAAAAAUUCAAGAUUUUAUUUUUCUUUCCUUCUGCUUUCCUCCCUUUUCACAUCAACCAAACAGAGAACAGCAAAAAAUAACCAAAGGGAAACUCAAAUGCAUGAAACCACGAAUACAGAAACUCACCUGUGCGGUAAAAUUUCCCGUAUUUGAUUAAUAUCCAUCACCGUAGGAAAUGCUGAAUAUGCUACAGAACAACCAUAACAAAAAACAGAAAAAAUUUGAACACAAAACCUAACAGAAUAGAAAAACAAAAGAAUCAAUGCAGAAAUGCCGGAAGAAGAGCAUACUCUUUUCGACGGGAACGUCUCCUUUACCAGCGUCGAGAGAAGCGCAAGCGAUGAAGGUGGAUCGAGGAUUGGAUUGAAGAGAAAGAAAGCGAGGGGCAGAGAGAGAAACGGUGAAUGUAGAGGGUCGGCGAGGAGAUAGAGGGGAAGGAGAAGUGAGAGGAGAGAAGAGAGAGUUGGAAAUGGUAGCCAUUUUCCGAGAGGGAAAGAGGGAGAGAGUAGAGAGGACGGUCGGAGUGAACGACGCGAAAGGGAUAGUUUGUGUGUUGAACACAGCGGAGAUUUCAAAGACUGCCCUUUUUUCAUUUCAUCAGUUUCCACUAACAAGACCUUCAGCUACCUGCUCUCUGAAAUUUGAAUGGGAAAAUUGUGUUUUCAAUCCGGCUAGUAACGUCCUCCUGCCACUCGAAGUUAAACGUUAAACUCAAAAUGCAAUGAAAAAAAUGAUAUUAUCUUUAAAAAAAUUCUUAAAAUAUCAUUAACUAUUAAAUGAAAAAACUAAUUGGUCACCUACCUUUGUCUCUUUUCUGACUCUUUUACAAUUUUCUCGUCUAUUUAUUAGGAUUAAGUUGAAUUUCCUAAUCAUUUUUUUCCGUCAAAUUAAAUAUGAAAAAUAAAUGAUUAAAAAUUAUUAUUAUUAAAUGUAUUUUUGAAGUAAAUAACUUUUAAAUACCUCAUCAAAUAUUACUCUUUUUUUCAAACUUACAUAAUAUAUAAUAAAUAUUUUUUAAAUACCUUGAAAAUUUACAUAAUAUAUAAUAAAUAUUAAUCUUUAUUUCAAAUUUAUAUUAUUUCUCGUAUAUGUUAAACAAUUUUUAAACACCUCAUAAAAUAUUAGUAUUUUUUUUUAUUCUAACUCUUAAAUCAGACAUCAUCAAAUAUUAUUUUUUUUUUCAAACUUAUAGGAUAUAUAAUAAAUACUUUUUAAAUACCCUAGCAAAUUUUUUUUUCUUACUUACAAAAUAAUAAAUAUGUUUUACAUUAUUUCUUAUAUACAUUAAAUAAUUUUUAAAUACCUUAUAAAAUAUUUUUUUUCUAACUUGCAAAUUAAACACAGAGUGUUUAUUAUUUCUCAUAUUAUUUCGAAAAUAAUGUAAACACAUAUUUCUAAGAUUAAAUUGCCAAACUUUCAAUAAUUUUGAAAGUGUAAACAGGGUAAUUGAAAAAAUUAAAUUCUUCAAUAUAUUCAAAAUUUCUCAAAUCCAAAAUUACAUAAUUGCUCCCCACACUAAUCCUAAAUAUUUUUAAAUAAAUAUUUAAAUAUUUAAAACUAUUAAAAUAAAUAUUUUCUUAUCAAAUCAAUUUUUUUUUAAAGUAAUAAGAUAAAAAUCAUGAAAUCUUCAAAACUAUAAUUAUAACAAAUAUUUUUAAUUUAAAACUAAUUUCAUAAUUUAAAUUACUAUUUUAAAAAAUAAAAAUGUUACAAAAAUAAUUUUUGUUUAUUUUAAUUCCAUUUAAAUAUGAUUUUUUAAUCUCUAUUUAUAACAAUAGAAUUAUGUUUAUAAAGGCAAAAUAGUAUAUAUAUAUAUAUAUAUAUUUCAUUUAGUUUACUUAAACAAUUCAAAUAUGAUUGAUUUUAAUUUUAUUUCUUAUAUGUUAAUUUCUGUAGGAAAAGUAUUAGUGAUAUAGUUUGGUAAAUAAAUAAAAUAUCAACAAUAAUCUUAAUGUCAAGUUCAAGUUAUUUAAAAAUCGUACAAAACUUAUUAGGAGUUUUGUAUACCCUUAUACAUUUGACACAUUUUUCUUUUACAAUUAAUGUAAUACUUUUGUAUAAUAGUGCAAAUUUCAUAUCCCUCUUAAGUUUUAUGUUCAUGUAGGUGUAUUAAACAUGUUUUUAAUAAUUUGGUUGAUAAAAUGGUGGAUGACUUAAGGUCAAUUUUUUUUCCCCAAAUAUCAUUAUUAAGGAAAGCAUUGGAAUUUUCGUAUGAGAAUUAAAUAAAAUGCAUGAUAUAGAUAUACAAUUCGUGGGUAAUAAGAAAAAUAAAGGAAUGAUUCAUAAUAAAUUGAAAUCUUUCAUAAAAUAUAGCUUUGUACACCCUUGUAUACUUAGUACAUUUUCCUUGUAUACUUAGUGUAAUGCCCUGGUACAGUGACAUAAAUUUCAUAUACCUCAUAAGUUAUGUAUCUACAUAGGUGUAUUUAAUCAUAUUUCCAAUGAUUUAGUUGAGAAAAUGGUGGAUGAUAUAGGGUCAAUUUUUUUCCCCAAAUAUCAUUACUAGAAAAGUAUUGGAAUUUUCAUGUGAAAAUUAAAUAAAAUGCAUGAUAUAAGUGUACAAUUUGUAGGUAAUAAGAAAAAAAAAAUGAUUUAUAAUAAAUUGAAAUCUUUCACAAAAUGUAGUUUUGUACACUCUUAUACAUUUAGUACAUUUCUCUUAUAUAAUUAGUGUAAUACCAUUGUACCGUGACAUCAUAAAUGAAUAAAUGAAAUUUAAUUAUUUUUAUUAUUUUCAUAUAAAAAAUAGUAUUAAACAAGGUUUUCAAUUUUUAUUUUUAAAAAUAGUUUUUAUUUUUUAAUUAAACAUAUUUUCAAAAAGAGAUAAUAUAGAAAAUAAAAAUUAUUUUAAAAAAUAAAAAUAAAAACUAAAAAAAUAAAAAUAGAAAAAUAUUUUUAAACCAAACUCAAACAUAAUCUAUAAAAUUUUUAACUACUUAUUUUCAUCUAAAAUGAGUAAAUAUACUUUUCAACCCUUUUAUAUAAGAAAAAUUCAAUCUCUACCAUGUAUUGAUUUAAUCUACUUUUAAAAUUAAGUCAUACAAAAACAUUUUUAUUGGGUAUUUAAAAUAAAAACUCUCAAUUCAUCCUCUUUAUUUCUUUUUCUUUUUCUUAUUUUAAUAAAUUUUCAAUUAAUUUAAAUAAUUAAAAAAAUCUUUAGUAAACAAAUUUACAAUAUUUCAUAUGACUUAUUACUAAAAAUCAUGCUCAAAAAGUUAUUAAAAUAAGGAAGGAAGAAAAUUUUUUAAAAAUUAAACUUUUUAUUUUAUAAUAAUAAAAAAAAACUUUAAAAUACUUUUUAGUACAAAAAGAAAAAGAAAAUAGUGAAUAUGUUUGUUUUAAAUAUUAUUUUAAUAAUUAAAUUAUUUACUUCUAAAAUGUAAAAGGUAAUCUUUAUUUAUUUAAAUUAACAUUUUUUAAAAAUUAUUCCCAAAAGUAGUCUUUAAAUCAUUAAUAUAAUUUUUGUUUAUUUAUAAUUUUAAAUAAAAAAAUAAUGUUGAUUUUUCAAUUAUUUAUAAAAGAGUUUAAAAAAUAAAAAAAAUGGUUAAAUAAGAGAGAAUUUGAUGGUAGUGACAUCAGGCAUGCGAAGAGUGGUAAAAUAAAAAUAAGAAUGAGUCAAAAGGGUAUUUUUAUCCAUUACUAUUUCAUAUAUUUGUAACGGGUGAUUGAAGGAUUUUUAUCUUAAUUAUCAAAUCCAAUUGGGUUAAAAACAUAAUUCUCCCGAUUUGGAAGCUCAUCAAUAUUAUAAAUGGUUGGAGAACGUCACUCAACUGAUUUUUAUUUUUAUUUUCUGUCAUUUAAGUAAAUUAGAGAGGACCAUUUAUUUAAUGUGGAAACCGUGGAGGUGGCAUUCGGAAUUUAAAGCUUUGUAUGGUUGUUCUCAAUCGUCCACUUGUUAAGCCCAAUUAAUUAAAAUAAUAAAAGUGGUUCUACAUUUUUAGACACCAUUAUGAUUUAAUUUAGUGUUUUAAUAGACAAAGUUUUUGGAACUAGAAAUGUCAUUGAACCAAUAACUUUUCAAUGAAGGGAUUGAUGGUCAAAUAAGUUAUAUCAUAAAUAUAUAAUUAUUAUAUUAUAUAUAAUUAAAAAAAUAAGAAAUUAAGAAUAUAUAUAUAUAAAAUUAAAUUUUUUAAUAAUAUUGCUUAUUUAAAAAAUUUUGAUAUCUCAAAUUAAAUGAUGAAGAUAAAUAAAAAUUUAUUAAUAUUUAAAAUUUUAUUAGAUAAAACAUAUAUACUAUUUAAGUAUUAUGAUAUAUUUUAAAUGACAGAAAAAUUAUAAUAUUUAAUUUUAUCAUAUAUCUCAUUAUUUUCAAAUUUAAAAAUUAUUAUAUUAAAUAAUUUAUAUUAUUUUUAUACUUAUCAUUAUAUAAUAAAUAUAACAUGAAGAAUGUAUAUUUAUUUAAUGGUUUUAUAUGGUGGAAAUGAAAAAAAAAAUCAAAGUUUAUAUUAUUAUUUUAUUAAUUGUACUACAAGAAAUAUCAGAGUGAUUAAGUGGCUUAGUGAGCCAUCCCUCCCUCGUGUAACAUGUAGCCUGUGGCUCAAGUCACUUAGGCGCAAGCCUUGACAGGUUUUUCAGGAAUCGGACGGCUCAUCCGGCUUGACAGUUCAACCAUCGGUUUAAAGGGUUGAGCAUCGGUUCAUUCACUCAGACCGGAAAGUGCAUCGGUUGGCGGUCAAACCAUUACAAGCUUCAACAUAGUCCACCCCAAAUUCUAAAAUGAUAAAAGAACAGAAGUAUAAAACGAACUUAUUAUAUCUUUAAAGAUUUGCAUCUUCUUCACUUAUAAUUAUAAGUUAUAACUAGCUGAAAUACAUUUCCCCUGAGAAACCAUUACUUGGAGUGGAAGGAGACGCAAGGAUAGUAGCAAGCUAAUAUUCAUAUUAGGAACUUAAGAGGUUUAUAUAGCCGUUCUCAAUCAUCCACUUGAGGCUCCAGUGGUUCUGAGCACAUCUAUCUGUAAGCCCAAUAAGCCCAUCCAAAAGUGGCACGCCCGUACACAUCUAUUUGAGCUUUUGCAAAUCUCUGGUAGUCUUCCUUUGAUGCUCCACUUUUUGCCCAUUCUGCGGUCCAUUCCCCUACAAAA